This 789-nucleotide ribosomal RNA is filed under the name uncultured Xiphinematobacteriaceae bacterium. RNAcentral's name for it is "bacterial SSU rRNA". It matches the Rfam family "Bacterial small subunit ribosomal RNA", at positions 68 to 840 of the family's 1533-position model. The record is from RNAcentral. Lineage: Bacteria; Pseudomonadati; Verrucomicrobiota; Spartobacteria.
CAACAUUUGUAGCAAUACAGAUGUUGUUUAGUGGCGAACGGGUGCGUAACACGUGGGCAAUCUGCCGAGAAGUGGGGGAUAGCUCGCCGAAAGGCGAAUUAAUACCGCAUAUGAUCAGGGACGACAUCUUCCCAACAUCAAAGCCGGGGCAACCUGGCGCUUCUUGAUGAGCCCGCGGCCUAUCAGCUAGUUGGUGAGGUAACGGCCCACCAAGGCUAUGACGGGUAGCUGGUCUGAGAGGACGACCAGUCACACUGGAACUGAGACACGGUCCAGACACCUACGGGUGGCAGCAGUCGAGAAUUUUUCUCAAUGGGGGCAACCCUGAAGGAGCGACGCCGCGUGGAGGAUGAAGGCUUUCGGGUUGUAAACUCCUGUCGUUUGAGAACAAGUGUAGCCAAGUAACUACUGGCUACUUGAUAGUAUCAGAAGAGGAAGGGACGGCUAACUCUGUGCCAGCAGCCGCGGUAAUACAGAGGUCCCAAGCGUUGUUCGGAUUCAUUGGGCGUAAAGGGUGCGUAGGUGGCGUGGUAAGUCGGGUGUGAAAUUUCGGAGCUUAACUCCGAAACUGCAUUCGAUACUGCCGUGCUUGAGGACUGGAGAGGAGACUGGAAUUUACGGUGUAGCAGUGAAAUGCGUAGAGAUCGUAAGGAAGACCAGUGGCGAAGGCGGGUCUCUGGACAGUUCCUGACACUGAGGCACGAAGGCCAGGGGAGCAAACGGGAUUAGAUACCCCGGUAGUCCUGGCAGUAAACGGUGCACGUUUGGUGUGGGAGGAUUCGACCCCUU